GGGUUAGUAACUUAAUUGGUAAAGAGUUUUCUUGUCACGAAAACAGAUGCCGGAUCGAGACCGGUCUAACUCG
RNAcentral lists this transfer RNA (73 nucleotides) under Friedmanniomyces endolithicus. Its description in RNAcentral is "tRNA-Asp". Lineage: Eukaryota; Fungi; Ascomycota; Dothideomycetes; Mycosphaerellales; Teratosphaeriaceae. The record is from RNAcentral. RNAcentral also lists the same sequence under 1 other name.